Molecule: long non-coding RNA, 270 nt
Organism: Cyprinus carpio (common carp)
Lineage: Eukaryota; Metazoa; Chordata; Actinopteri; Cypriniformes; Cyprinidae
Exons: 4
Source: RefSeq, a predicted model, not a curated record
CACAUCUCAACAUUUCUCAACUCUGUCAGAUUCACUCAGAAAUGUCAGUUAAAGAGCAAGGUCUACCGUUAUUUUACAUAUUGAUCUUUGCUGCCACUGCUGGAUCUCUGUUGAUUGUAGCUGCAGUUGUGAUGUGCUGCAUCUGCAAGAAACGUAGAAAAACAGUCCAAAACCACGAAGAAGACUCUGAUUCAGCAUUGUGUAAACCCAAAACACACAAAAAGAAAUCAAAGUCGGAGGCUGUGUAUGAAAAUGUCCCCAAAAAAACGA